RNAcentral lists this long non-coding RNA (582 nucleotides) under Capra hircus (goat). RNAcentral describes it as "lncRNA (ENSCHIG00000003906.1)". Lineage: Eukaryota; Metazoa; Chordata; Mammalia; Artiodactyla; Bovidae. The record is from RNAcentral.
CUUCUUGGGAUGGGGGUGGAGAGCAGGGGUGAGGAUGGAGGGCAAAUGCCAUCCUCAUUUUUUUUUUUUUUUACACAAUAGAGGCCUGCCCCGGAGGCUAAAUGACCCAGUCACACACAAACAGCAACACAAAGGCUGAGUCAGAACCUGGCUGGGUCUCAGGCCUUACCCCCAGAGCAGCUACUUCCUCCUAAAUAUCUCUAAGCCCUCAGUUUCUUGGGCCUUUAGUUUUAGCAUCUGGGCUGCCAUGCUUUUGCUCCUAGUUACGCUGUUUCCACCACCUCCAUCUGGGGAUCUCUGUGGAAGUGAAACUGCGUACCGCAGAUGGGACUUGAACCUACAAUCUUUGGCUUAGGAAAGGGAUUUGAACCCCAAAUCUCCCAGCUGAAACUGCAUACCUCGUCUCAGGACUUAAUGAAGCUCAGGUUCUUUGCGUCUUGGCCCAGAAGGAAUUCGUCACAUGUGGGAUCUAACCUGUACCCCCGGAACUGGACCACCAGCAUGUAGCACAGAGGUCCUGGAACACAGUGAGAACAAGCACCCCACCCCCACCACCCCGGCUGCCAAGAUUUUUGAAUGAGU